Molecule: ribosomal RNA, 253 nt
Filed under: uncultured bacterium
Lineage: Bacteria
Description: partial 16S ribosomal RNA
Rfam family: Bacterial small subunit ribosomal RNA
Source: RNAcentral
UACAGAGGUCUCAAGCGUUGUUCGGAUUCAUUGGGCGUAAAGGGUGCGUAGGUGGUUUGGUAAGUUGAAGGUGAAAUCUCGGAGCUUAACUCCGAAACUGCCUUCAAUACUGCCGGACUUGAGGACUGUAGAGGAGAAUGGAAUUCACGGUGUAGCAGUGAAAUGCGUAGAUAUCGUGAGGAAGACCAGUGGCGAAGGCGAUUCUCUGAGCAGUUCCUGACACUGAGGCACGAAGGCUAGGGGAGCAAACGGG